UAGUGUUAAAUUCUCCUUAGAGGAACUCGCCAUUUAAUCGAUAAUCCCCGAUAAACCCCACUUACAUAAACAGCUUAUAUAUCGCCGUCAAGAUGUUAUUGAACAAUAGUCACCAUAAAAUGAAAACAUAAAAAAUCAGGUCAAGGUGUAGCUUAUAUAUAAGACAUGGUAAGUUACAUUAAAAAAAAAUUUAAAGAGUAAUUGCGAAACCAAUAACACAAAGAGAAUCUAAAAGUAAAGUUAAAAUAGUAUCUUAAUUAGAACCACACAAAACAUGC
Molecule: ribosomal RNA, 278 nt
Filed under: Lamania sp. MR45
Lineage: Eukaryota; Metazoa; Arthropoda; Arachnida; Araneae; Tetrablemmidae
Description: partial 12S ribosomal RNA
Source: RNAcentral